CUGGAUUUGACAUCUCCUGACAACCGUAGAGAUACGGCUUCUGUAGCAAUACAGCAGGAAGACAGGUGCUGCAUGGCUGUCGUCAGCUCGUGUGGUGACAUGUUGGGUUAAGUCCCGCAACGAGCGCAACCCUUGUCCUUAGUUGCCAGCAUUAAGUUGGGCUCUCUAAGGAGACUGCCGUGGUUAACACGGAGGAAGGUGGGGAUGACGUCAAGUCCUCAUGGCCUUUAUAUCCAGGGCGACACACGUGAUACAAUGGACGGUACAGAGGGAAGCCAAGAAGCGAUUCGGAGCUAAUCUCAAAAAGCCGUUCUCAGUUCGGAUUGGAGUCUGCAACUCGACUCCAUGAAGUUGGAAUCGCUAGUAAUCGCGGAUCAGCACGCCGCGGUGAAUACGUUCCCGGGCCUUGUACACACCGCCCGUCACACCAUGGGAGCUGACUCAACCAGAAGACGGCCAGGCUAACCGCAAGGAAGCCUCCGGCGAAGGUGGGGUUGGUGACUGGGGUG
Molecule: ribosomal RNA, 509 nt
Filed under: uncultured bacterium
Lineage: Bacteria
Description: bacterial SSU rRNA
Rfam family: Bacterial small subunit ribosomal RNA
Source: RNAcentral